AGAGGGAGGAGGAGCGAUAAGCAGAGCAGAUGUUCAAAUAUCUAAUCUGAUGCAAAAGUACAGAAAACUGGAUUAAGAACUGGACUGAAUCGACAGACACAAACACAAAACAAAGCAAGAGAAGAAGUCUGUUCCUGUAGCAAUAGGGCAUCAGGAGCACAGAGAGCUCAAAGGAAGAUCAAGAAGUGCUCUCUUGCAGCUCUGUUUACGGCAAAAGAACUUCAAGGAAACAGAGAAAAACAUCAGUGUAUGUAGAAGUGUUUGGAAGUUUUAGAGAUGCUUUUUAACGUUAUCUCAGCCGUGUGUUUGUCACUCUGGGUUAGUUCUUGUGUGGUCAACUCAGCUGAGGACCUAUACAUGACCAGAGCUCUGAAACUGAUGUCCGAGACCCCUCUCAUCGAUGGACAUAACGACCUGCCGUGGCAACUUCGCAAGCAAUUUAACAAUGAGCUCAACAAAGUGGAUCUGCACACUCUGAACUCAACACAUACCAACAU
Molecule: non-coding RNA, 497 nt
Organism: Labrus bergylta (ballan wrasse)
Lineage: Eukaryota; Metazoa; Chordata; Actinopteri; Labriformes; Labridae
Source: RefSeq, a predicted model, not a curated record